Prunus avium (sweet cherry) is the source of this 335-nucleotide non-coding RNA. The record is from RefSeq and is a predicted model, not a curated record. NCBI's taxonomy places the organism in Eukaryota, Viridiplantae, Streptophyta, Magnoliopsida, Rosales, Rosaceae.
AAAGAGAAAACCCUAAUUCCUAAAUUCAUAAAGACCACUCAAAAUCAGAUAGUCAUAUUCAAAUCUCAAUUCAAAUUCAGAAAAAUAAAACAAUUGAUGGAGUUGUUCAAAACCGAAUCAAGAAAGAGAAAGAGCAUUGGAGGAACUUAUUAAAAAGAUUAAUUUCAAUUGUGAAAUAUCUUGGAAAAUAUAGUUUGGCUUUUCGUGGAAGUAAUGAGAAGAUCCAUGAUAUUAACAAUGGAAAUUUCUUGGGCCAAGUUGAAAUGAUUGCAGAGUGGGAUCCAGUUAUGAAGGAGCAUGCGUAUGGAUGAAAUAGACUCAUUAUCAUUAUCUUA